GGUAACACACAAAUGUUAAAAACACCUCCAGCUCAUGUUCCAUACUGUGAGAGAGCUGGCUUUAGGAAAGGGUUGCUGCAAUUUCACACACAUUUUCUCUUCUGGGUGAUCUCUUUUGUCCUCUGAUGAAACAUUUCUUUCUGAUCGGAGUGUUCUUUUCCUAGAUGACAGAUUUCCAUCCAACCAGUAGUUUCAGUGAGCCUUUCUAGUGGCUCAUAAUGGAUCAGGAGUUCACUGAAACACCUCAUAUUGGCUUUCCCCUUUAAUUUGGCACCACUCUACACGUAUUUAUUGAUCGGACUGUGAAGAUCUGGCGUGCACGUGGUGGACUGGAUGGCACCUUGGAAGUGGUUGACAGUGUAGACGAGGUUGCAAGUAACUGAACAUGGUACCACUUGCCUGGUUUGACUCUAGAAGGACGUAAAGGCACUCCUGCCCUGCACUUUGACCCCUUAACUAUCAAGCCUAAACGACACACCUUCCAUAUCAUGUGACGUUCAUGACUGAGCCAACAGGAAACGGUAAUCUCAUCACAGUGGAAGCUAACGCAUUAGUUCUUUUCUUUGACUCUGUAUGCUUAGAGGAUUUAGUUAACUGUAUUGUUAAUGACUUCUAUUUCUCUCUUCUUGCGCUUUAGACGGUUUGUCAUUAUUGUCAUCGUUAUAAGAACUUAUAUUCACAAGAUACUAUAGGAUGUGGUGAACACACAGUAGACACUAUCAGUGCAGCUCGGCUUACAUGCAGCACAGUGCAACGAUACAACACAGGCAACCCUGCCAAAAAAGGAUGUGGUGUUUUGUUGUAAGAGUACAGAAAUACAUACGUGCAGCAGAGCUAAUGGGUUGGUAGCUGGUCUUCACAACCCACUUCUCUACUUUGUUGAGAUUGUUUCUCUGCACUUGAAACAGAAGUGUUAUUCCAUCAGUCCUGUUUCCAAGAGCAAGAAAAGUGGCUGUGUGAGAAAGAAAUCAUUCUACCCCUUAACAUCCUGCUCUUGCUUCUGUGCUCCCUUCAGUUUCUGCAGCAGCUUUAGAUCAGUGACCAAAAAUGUGUAACGUGUUGUUAUUGCUGUCCUCAGCUGGACUUGUAAACAGAACACACUUUAGAGUAGCUAAAGUUUGACGUUUAGGGAAAUAAGCUCACUUGCUUUAUACACUGCAUGUCUUUUGACUGUGGGAGGAAUCCAGAGUACCUGGAUUCAAACCCAGGACCCUUCUGCUGAGAGGCAGCAGAAGGGUCCUGGGUUUUCAGGUACAACCCAGAGCUUGAACGGCAGUUUAGUGAAGGAGUCUUCAGUGUCAAGUCAAGAAGCAUGAUCAUCAUUACCCUUCAGUCAUAAAAGGCGGAUGGGGUACUGUUGUCACCCUGCCAGAGGGGCACCAUGGACAGCCAUUAUAACUUCAGAACAAGAUAACAUAGGAUUUCAAAUUGAUACCAUACGUGUAGCUACUGAAAAUCUAGUUGAAAUCGAGUUGAAAUCUAGUUGACAAGGAUUUUGAAAUUUAUACAAUAGGUGCAUCUACUGGAAGUCUGUAGGGUAACUUUAUUCUGCAUUCACUGGGCUGUGCGCUCCAAGAAUUCAUCUUCUGGGGAUCAGGCUGUACAUCCUGAAGGGUCUGAGGAACAAGACUGAGUAGAAACAAACCAAACUUAAAGAAUCUUUGCUCACCAACUCAACAACUCCCAUACUCACAAGGUUUUAAACUUAUAAUGCUAAGAUUUUGACAUAGUGGAGGCAGGUGUGCAAGUGGUCAGGAAAGGUUUUAUAAUAAUGACAGCCAUUUGAAGACCUAUGAGGGACAAUUGAGCAAAUACAGUAAAAAUCUUGAAUUUAUCUGGUAAGUAGUACAGUGGUUAACACAGGCCCCUCACAGGAAUCUGGAAGCUGACUGAGGCCUCUGUGUCCCUGUUCCUGUGUGGAUUGUUUCUGGGUUUCUGCACCCUCCCACAGCUUAAAGACAUGCACGAUGAAUGAAAUUGGGAAUCUAAAUUUUCCAAAGGCAUAAAUGUGUGAAAAUUAAUUGAUGAAGAAUUUGUCCGGUGCAGUUUUUGUUUUUUAAUUGGUGGAACUUUAUCAUAGGAUCUCAAAUACCUUUAACCGCUGAGCACAUGCAAAAAAAACAAACAAACAAAAAUCAACACAAUUAGUCUAUGAGAUUCACUUAAUCCUUCUUAAAUGUGAGCAGGUUGAGCACCGAUGAAAGUCUGCACUUGUUGUCCAUGUUUCAUUGUGUGUACAAAUAUAUCUUCACUCUUCACACAUGCUGGUAACACUCACUAAACCUACACUGCUAAGUUGUGGUCUAAUUCCCAUGCUGCUAAGACACGUUCACCUUCCCAACCCUAUAAGAGGGCUUCUUGUCGUGGGCUCCAGGUGAGGUCCACUCAGUACCGUAGUUGUGUAUGUGUGUAUAUAAGUGUAACGGUAUCUCUUUGUUGUUGAGAGGAGAGGCCUUCUGACGCAACCAGUGUUAUUUUCCUGACUAUUGACUCAACAUCUGUCUCUGUUCUGAUCUUCGUGGGGCCUUCCUGGAGGCACUCGUGGUCUCUGCAGUUUAACUGACCUGCCUGUCAUGAUUGUGUGCUGUCAUUUAUGAAUGUUUGGUGAAACAGCAGCUGUAGGAAUUAUUCAACUACAUAUGAAAUGUAUGUAAACAAUGUCUGUUCAAAACAAAAAACUAAUCUGACUGAAUGUUAGUUUUGUGGGACCACCGAUCGGAACGUAGUCUCACACUAGAGCCCAGAGGACCGUGAAUGGCACAAAGACUGACGAGUACAUCAGUAAUGCUUUGGACUGAGCUUAUCCUUCAUACAGGUGGCAGGUCACGUUUAGUGGCCUUUGGUUAGUUUCUUUUCUUUGUUUUGUUUGUUAUGCCCUUCUUCUUCCCUGUACCCAUGGCGCACCCCCUCCUGUUUUAGGAGCCAUUCCCCAAUGGCGGACUCUGUAGCGAUUCUAAUGUCAGAUGCCUGGUCAGAAUAAAUGCCAUCUGUCAAAAACAA
This is a non-coding RNA of Neolamprologus brichardi, 3000 nucleotides long. NCBI's taxonomy places the organism in Eukaryota, Metazoa, Chordata, Actinopteri, Cichliformes, Cichlidae. The record is from RefSeq and is a predicted model, not a curated record.